This 404-nucleotide ribosomal RNA is filed under the name Fusobacteriota bacterium. RNAcentral's name for it is "Fusobacteria bacterium partial 16S ribosomal RNA". It matches the Rfam family "Bacterial small subunit ribosomal RNA", at positions 355 to 776 of the family's 1533-position model. Lineage: Bacteria; Fusobacteriati; Fusobacteriota. The record is from RNAcentral.
UGGGGAAUAUUGCACAACGGAGGGAACUCUGAUGCAGCGACGCCGCGUGAGUGAUGAAGGAAUUCGUUUCGUAAAACUCUGUUCUAUGGGAAGAAAAGGACUGUACCAUAGUAGAAAGCUCCGGCUAAAUACGUGCCAGCAGCCGCGGUAAUACGUAUGGAGCGAGCGUUGUCCGGAAUUAUUGGGCGUAAAGGGUGCGCAGGCGGCUUUACAAGUUGGAUGUGAAAUAUUGUGGCUCAACCACAAACGUGCAUCCAAAACUGCAAAGCUUGAGUUAAGGAGAGGUAAGUGGAAUUCCUGGUGUAGCGGUGGAAUGCGUAGAUAUCAGGAGGAGUACCGGUGACGAAUGCGACUUACUGAACUUAAAAUGACACUCAGGCACGAAAGCGUUGGGAGCAAACAGG